This 329-nucleotide unclassified non-coding RNA is filed under the name soil metagenome. RNAcentral describes it as "partial contains 5.8S ribosomal RNA, internal transcribed spacer 2, and large subunit ribosomal RNA". The stretch from base 1 to 120 matches the Rfam family "5.8S ribosomal RNA", at positions 35 to 154 of the family's 154-position model. The record is from RNAcentral.
GAUGAAGAGCGCAGCGAAAUGCGAUAAGUAGUGUGAAUUGCAGAAUUCAGUGAAUCAUCGAAUCUUUGAACGCACAUUGCGCCCCUUGGUAUCCCGAGGGGCAUGCCUGUUCGAGCGUCAUUUCACCACUCAAGCCUGGCUUGGUGUUGGGCGACGUCCUCUUUGGGGACGCGCCUCGAAACGCUCGGCGGCGUGGCACCGGCUUUAAGCGUAGCAGAAUCUUUCGCUUUGGAAGUCGGGGCCCCGUCUGCCGGAAGACCUGCUCGCAAGGUUGACCUCGGAUCAGGCAGGGAUACCCGCUGAACUUAAGCAUAUCAAUAAGCGGAGGA